Molecule: long non-coding RNA, 521 nt
Filed under: Nicotiana benthamiana
Lineage: Eukaryota; Viridiplantae; Streptophyta; Magnoliopsida; Solanales; Solanaceae
Description: long non-coding RNA (NBEN_LNC006527)
Source: RNAcentral
AUUGCGGCAAUCGCCAUCAAGAGCCUAUCAGAGAUCCAGUCCGAGAGCGACGUUGACCUGGAUCGUCUUGUCGGCUUCGACCUGACAUCGUUAGUAUAAUUUGGUCGAUCCACCUGCACGCAUAAGUGCAUUUUUGUGGGAUAAUUUCACUUAAAUUCAGCUCACACAACUGACUUGCAACAUAAUAGCCUAGAUAUCACUUUGCAAAACUAUAGCCCAAAAAAUAAUAGGCUAAGGUCCGGAAAAAGCUUUUCUACACUACCAACUACUGCUAUUAUUCCUUCUUUAUGAAUUCUUACGCUUCGCACAAAUUCCAAUUGAAACAAUCAACGUCAAUGGUGCCAUUUAAUUUCUGGAAACACGUAAGGCUUUCAUAUUUGAAUUUGCUUUUCUUAAUGAAAAAUUGUGUAGAAGAGGAAGCAGUAGAAUCAUCUACAGUUCUAGAGGAGACUUAGAUGCAUUAGAUGAUAAAAUGAGAAUAGUGAUAUAUCUUAGAACCAUUAAUGUAAUUGACGGAUUUU